GACGAACGCUGGCGGCAUGCCUAAUACAUGCAAGUCGAGCGAACAGAUGAAGUGUUUGCACUUCUGACGUUAGCGGCGAACGGGUGAGUAACACGUAAGGAAUCUACCUAUAAGCGGGGGAUAACAUUCGGAAACGGGUGCUAAUACCGCAUAAUAUCUUCUUCCGCAUGGAAGAAGAUUGAAAGACGGCUCUGCUGUCACUUAUAGCUUACCUUGCGGUGCAUUAGUUAGUUGGUGGGGUAAUGGCCUACCAAGACGAUGAUGCAUAGCCGACCUGAGAGGGUGAUCGGCCACAUUGGGACUGAGACACGGCCCAAACUCCUACGGGAGGCAGCAGUAGGGAAUCUUCCGCAAUGGGCGAAAGCCUGACGGAGCAAUGCCGCGUGAGUGAAGAAGGCCUUCGGGUCGUAAAACUCUGUUAUAAGGGAAGAACAAAUUGUAGAGUAACUGCUACAGUCUUGACGGUAUCUUAUCAGAAAGCCACGGCUAACUACGUGCCAGCAGCCGCAGUAA
RNAcentral lists this ribosomal RNA (513 nucleotides) under uncultured bacterium. Its description in RNAcentral is "partial 16S ribosomal RNA". It matches the Rfam family "Bacterial small subunit ribosomal RNA", at positions 28 to 523 of the family's 1533-position model. The record is from RNAcentral.